This is a long non-coding RNA of Vitis vinifera (wine grape), 458 nucleotides long. RefSeq lists it as uncharacterized. The record is from RefSeq and is a predicted model, not a curated record. Lineage: Eukaryota; Viridiplantae; Streptophyta; Magnoliopsida; Vitales; Vitaceae. The transcript has 2 exons.
UCUUCGAAUGAGAGGCGUGGCUGCUGCCGGAAAAUAUCUCUGGCUGUAAAAAAUGACUGGAACAGCGACAAUUAUGUGGUAGUGGAGAUGGGUCUGACCCUAUCGUUCCAGCAGCUCCUCUCCAUCUUGCAUUGUAACUCUCUCAUGGAUAGGAUGUUGGACGAGCUACACUCAUAGGGGAGAACGAUUGAGGAAAUUGAGAAGUGUUUGAAAAAGGUCCCAUUGAAUCCAAGAAUCCUGGCAGCCAUUAAAGCUGCCCAUGAUUUUAGGUAGGUUUCUUUAUGGUUAUGGCUUCAUUAUUGGUUUUUUUUUUAUUUAUAUAUAUAUAAUUAAAAUAAAACUGACAAUGUGGUUAUUUCAGAUGUGAUUUAAGGAUGGUUAGCGAUGCCAAUAAGGUUUAUAUUGAGACAAUCUUGAUAGAUCCGAAGUUCAUAUUUAUACAACUAAUUUUGGAUGAA